Molecule: ribosomal RNA, 490 nt
Filed under: uncultured bacterium
Lineage: Bacteria
Description: partial 16S ribosomal RNA
Rfam family: Bacterial small subunit ribosomal RNA
Source: RNAcentral
AGUGAACGCUGGCGGUAGGCCUAACACAUGCAAGUCGAACGGCAGCACAGGAGCGCUUGCUCUCUGGGUGGCGAGUGGCGGACGGGUGAGGCAUACAUCGGAAUCUGCCCAGUCGUGGGGGAUAACGUAGGGAAACUUACGCUAAUACCGCAUACGACCUUCGGGAGAAAGAGGGGGCUCGCAAGACCUCUCGUGAUUGGAUGAGCCGAUGUCGGAUUAGCUAGUUGGCGGGGUAAUGGCACACCAAGGCGACGAUCCGUAGCUGGUCUGAGAGGAUGACCCGCCACACUGGAACUGAGACACGGUACCGACUCCUACGCGAGGCCGCAGUGGGGAAUAUUGGGCGAUGGGCGAAAGCCUGAUCCAGCCAUACCGCGUGGGUGAUGAAGGCCUACGGGUUGUAAAGCCCUUUUGUUGGGAAAGAUAUCUUUCAGGCUAAUACCCUGGGAGGAUGACGGUACCCAAAGAAUAAGCUCCGGCUAACUUCGUG